Pelobates cultripes (western spadefoot toad) is the source of this 3801-nucleotide non-coding RNA. The record is from the annotation of a GenBank genome assembly. Lineage: Eukaryota; Metazoa; Chordata; Amphibia; Anura; Pelobatidae.
GUGAUUAUUGUGAAGGAGUGUCAAUAAGUGUACUGGGACCACUUUCCCCUCGAAUACAUGUAAAAUGUAUGCCUAAACCAGCUCCACUUUGCCUCUGGAAGAUCAUCAUUACUGAUAAUCUCCCAGCCAAUUCAAUGCUAUAAUAGCACAAAGCAGUCCAAAAUCGCAUACCAGUUGCAGGGAAGGAGUUAGUACUGCGACACCAUCUGAGUCAUUCCGGGCAGGGAAAAUAUAAAAGGGGCAAUCAAUUUAUGCAUUUAAUUAUACAUUUAGGUUUUAUCUAAUAAGAGCUGGAAAAUCUUCAGUUCUCUUGUCUGCUGCAUUUGCAAGCCCUCCCCUUCUUCCUCAGUCCAGACUUUCUGUGGCUGUCCAAUCACAGACUUCCCAAUGCAGCUCAAUGUAAAAAUCUUUGCAAGGCAGGUGCUCCGGGCAAUAGCAACUUCUUGAGUUUAUCUGCACUGGGCUCACCAAACCAGGAAGUAGCAGAACUAGUUGUCUGAUUGAUAGCCAGGUUUGUGUAAACAGUCUAAUUUAUAAAAGUGAAAAUUUCUAUUGAAAUACACUAUUUUUGUAAAAGGAAAAAAUAUGACACACUCUUUACACAUAAAACAAAUUAAAGUGCUAUAAGUGUUUGAAGGUAUAUAUUUAAAUCUCUUUUUAUGUUGUUUUGAAUAUGUUUAUUGGUGCAUAGACAAAGCAGUCAUCCCACGCAGGGGAGACAAAUGUUUCAUAAGAAGCUUUCGACAUAAGCAUAUGCCACAGAGUGCGUUUCAUAUUAAGUUUUCGACAUAGGCAUAUGCCACAGAGUGCGUUUUAUAUCGAAUAAGAACAGUCAAAGCCUGGUAAGGCAAAUAGGUUAAAGUACGUGAUCAUAAGUAACAUAACUAAAAUAAGCUUUCGACAUGGGCAUAUGCCACUGAGUGCAUUUUAUAUCGAAUAAGAACAGUCAAAGCCUAGUAAGGCAAAAAGGUUAGAGUACGUGGCCACUAGUAACAUAACUAAAAUAAGUUUGCGACAUAGGCAUGUGCCACAGAGUGCGUUUUAUAUCGAAUAAGAACAGUCAAGGCCUAGUAAGGCAAAAAGGUUAAAGUACGUGAUCACAAGUAACAUAACUAAAAUAAGCUUUCGACAUGGGCAUAUGCCACAGAGUGCGUUUUAUAUCGGAUAAGAACAGUCAUAGCCUAGUAGGGCAGAAAGGUUAAAUUACGUGAACACAAGUAAUAUAACUAAGAUUAAGCAAAUAUCAUAUUGCAUAUCUGUUUUAACAUUAGCUAGGAGAGAUCAUUCUCUGCAUCUUAUUUUGCGGUCCGCAUAUGGUAGCAGUACAAUGUUUAGCUAACAUAUACAAUGCAGUAAUUAGGUAGGUAAAUAGGCAAUACUGAAACAUGAAAAACAUAUGGUAGCAAUUAAGAACAUAUCAACAUGCCCUUGCUGCUCAGUCAGUUGCUCAUCUAUUUGUACCGUCCUGCACAGUUUCGAUGUCUGUCUGGAGGGAAUCUCUCAUGGUGCUGCUUCCACACUGCCCCUGGGGUGCCUGGUCUCCUUCCCUCACCCCCAUGCCGAUCACCGCUCACCGGUCUGGUCCCCCACAGUUCCGUGGGCACUCGGGAGCUUAAACUGUCCGUUGGGCCCCACCACCAAAGUCCUCCGGCCGUCCACUCCCUGCACCUCCCCGGCCCCGCUUGGGUCCCUUGAGGAGUGUGUUCCUGCGUCUCGCCCGUCGCCGGCCGCAUGCUUGGAGCCGGUGACCGCCCCCCACGACCACCGGUCCGUCGAGGGGGCGGCACAGUCCUGCCCCACCGGGCUCACAGCGCCAGGGACUAGGCUUUCCGGGGACCCCUGACCCAUAUGCCCGGGCACACACCUCUCCCGUGGUCGAGGUCACGGCCUGGUGGAUCCGUCCGGCACCUGGCCCUGCCAGGGCCCGUGUGAGCCGCCCAUGUUGGUCCCUUCUGGUGCUCCAUGGUAUGUGUCCCUUUUUUUCGAGUGCAGUUGUCAGGCGGCUACGUUUAGGCAGCCUUUGCCUGUAUAGGAGUUCAGCAUAUUCCCCAGGUGGCUGUGUCCAGCCCGGGGCGUGCAGCCUCCAUGUGGCCGGGAUCACCCCCACCGGCCGGGGGGGGGGGCGGAGCGGGGCCGCGUCUCUCGCCCGUGUGGGUCCCCAUCGAUGUUCCUGGAGCCGGCAUGCUUGUUCCUCCCUACGUGCAGUUAGGUGUCGGUCUGCCGUAAGCUGCUGCCUAUGUUCAGGCUUUAAAAUGCCACGUAGGCCGGGUUCGUCCGACUGGGUGCUCCCGGUAUAUUUUUGGCCGUAGUUUGGUAUCGGAUGGAAGUCGGGGUAAAUCCCCUUGGCAUCCCGGUGAGCAAUCCCGCUUUGGGGCAGAUUAUGUCUGAAUUUUAUGCUGUUUUUCGGAGCUUGGCCCUGGAGCCUCGUUGCUCUGCUGCCAUGCAGCUUGGCGGCCCGGCCCCGCCCCCUCUCUUUUUAUGUUGAAACAACUCUUGAUUUCCACCUGCUAUGGUAUCCCCACAGGGUACCUGGGAUGCUGGGCUAACAUCAUGUGAAGAUCUAACUUGUAUAACCAACCCCUGAUGUAAGGUGUAUAGAAGCUAGUGUGACUCCUGAAACUAGGACAAAUUUAUGGAAAGUCUAAAUUAUUAAUAUAAAUGCAUGGGUUAAUAAAGUCCCAGCAAACUCACACAAGACGGUUUAUAGAUUUUAACUUUUAUUCAUAUUUCCAAUUAGAAAGUGGAUUCACCUUCUACAAACCAUGAAAAAGGUUUUAAUUUUUAUUUAUUUUAAAAACUGUGUACGAAUUACCCCUUUUCCAUAAAGAUAUUUUACUGAAUUUUGUAUUUAAAAUAUAAAAUAAGACUAUUCAACAAUCCAAACAAUUUAUAACAUUUGAAUAACCAAUGUCCUCUGAAUGUUCCCAUUUUUGUUGCUGUAUUUAUAUCUUAGCUAAUUAAAAAUAACAAAUCAACAUCCCAAUCUAUUUCUAAACCAACAAAUUGCUUUGUUCUAGACAUUAGUCCUUUAGGCGUCAAACCCAUAGGUGUUUCUGUCAUAAUAUGCUGGAUAAAAGUCUGCUGUAGUGGUUAUGGUGGUGUAGGGCUCUUUUAAAUCCUGUAACAUCAUUGUAGGUAUUGAAUUAUGUCAAUGUGUUAAAAUAGCAAACCUUGAGUUGUCUACAAGGAGAGGACAAAUACUGUCAUGCAAAUGUAACUAUAUUGUGACUAAGGUCAUGUCACCAUAGAUAUGACAAGUUCUGUAACUGACUCACCCCCACCCAAAGCCAAUGGCAUACACCCACAACCAAAAAGUCUAGACUGUAGGCUUUACGUCGAUGCUGUAUCAUUGGUCUGCAGUGAUGUUUAAAGGGAAUGGCUUUGGAUUUAUAACACACCCACAGAUCACAAGAUGUGCCUGACAAAUAUAUUUUCAAUAACCGUUACAAAGGCAACUCCUGUUUCCCCCACUGUUGUGUUCUUUCUGGUAAACACUGUCGUCGUCGCUGUUAAUGAUGUCUUUCAGGGUCAAUCUCUUCCGUUUCUAUUUACUGAUGAUGCGUUUUGUAUUUGUGAUGUGUAAAUUUCAAAUGUGAUUUAUUGGUUUGUAAGUGCAUGUCAUACAUACCAUUGAAAAUAUUUUUCUAAGCUAGACAUGGGGUUUUUACAAAUGCAUUGGAGUAAAUGUUGAAAUUUUUUUUUUUUUCUGACGUGUUAAUGAGAUUAUUUUUUGUAAAAGUAUUGUUUCUUAAAACGUGUUAAAAGUGAACAAAAUUAUAUUUGCUGUCAAUAAAAGUCUAC